CCAUCCAUAUAACAUAAUCCACUACUUACUGUCCGUGAGAAUUCGAAAACAACGAUUUACAGUAAGCGCAUCGAUACCCCCUUCUUUAUUGCUCGCGCCUGCCAGGUAUAUUUGUCGGCACAACGGCACACCGUUUAUCCCACAAAUCCGAUCAAUUUUAGGCGAAGUCUGAUCCCUAAAAUUAUAAACUCAAAUUUUGCUAGAAAAAUAUAACCAUUCUCGUCUUGCAAAAAUCUCUUAUCUCGCUGGAUCCAGAUUUGGUAGCCGAAAAAAAAAUUCCUCGUCCUUAGAGAGCACUGAUAGAUCAGAGGUCGUCUUCAAGGCGGUGAAACGAACUCAUCAAAGGGGAUGAUGGGGAUCGUCUAAUUGAAUUUUCAUGAAUCUCACUGACGACGAGAUAUGCAAGUGAGAUGAGGAUUAACAGGGCAUAGGAGGUGGUGGGAAAUGAUGGACGUUGGUGAGGCAUGGAAAAGGAGAAGAUGAAUGGUGGUCUUCUUUCCGUCGCCGAGAGAAGAAAAGCACAAGAAGAGAUGGUAGUUGGAAAGAGAGAAAUAUCGAA
Molecule: long non-coding RNA, 559 nt
Filed under: Erythranthe guttata (spotted monkey flower)
Lineage: Eukaryota; Viridiplantae; Streptophyta; Magnoliopsida; Lamiales; Phrymaceae
Description: long non-coding RNA (EGUT_LNC003639)
Source: RNAcentral